GCCGACGGUUUUAUUUUUCCACAGCAUUUGUUUUAGAAGAGCACUCAUGAGAAUUUUCAGUUUUAUCAUGUAUUUUCGACUCCUUUUCGAUUCGAAAAUGCUUUUGCAAUUGUUCCAAAGAAUAAUCUUCAGAACUAUGAAUGAUCUUCUUCCGAUAUCCUUUCCAAGUUCCAGGAAGUUUGGCAAUUAUAGCCUCCACUUGAAAGGUCUCCGGUAUAUCAAUUUUUACCCCUUUUAAUUUGUUGACAAUCACUUGCACCUCAUGGACUUGGGGAAGAAGAAGGAUAUUUUCUAAGAAUUUUAAAUCAAAAAUUUCUUUGUACCUUCUUCUUCUGCUUUGUACUUACUUUCCAAUGCUUCCCAGAUUUCUUUCGUCGAAGUUGUAUUGGUGUAUAGAUCAUACAAACGAUCCGACAAUGCAUUCAAGAUGUGGCCACGGCAAAUCAAUUCAUCUUCUUAGCGUUUUUGUCUCUCGAUCUUGAUUGCUUCGGAUUCUCCAUUCGUUGGUUCCGGCAAAGGCGCCAAAUAUGGAUCAAGAAUAUAAAAAAUUUUCAACGCCAUUAGGAGGAAUUUCAACUUGUCUUGCCAUCGCAAGAAAUUAGCCCCGUCAAAACGAUCCAAUCUAACAAGAUCUUGAUUCAUGAGUUUGAUGGUUGCCACAGUUGUAUCAUUCUCCAUCGCAAAAUAUAGUUUGAGAUUGUUGAAAAAUAAGGGGUUGGAGAAGAAACAACAACAAAAUUACAGAAACAAAAUGAAUAGAAAUCACAAAAUACGUCAAGAACGAAUUUGAGGCUUGAACAAGGGAUCGUUGUCCUCAAACUAUAUUUGCCCCCUCUCGAGACUGAAUGAGAUGCUUAAGGGUUUUGGCAAACGGUUCGUAGGAUUAUAUCAAGCCUUGUAAAGGAUUUAACACCAAAGCAAAAGUGCAAUCCUCCAAAACUUUAAGAACACAAAGGAAGAUCUUAAAUAUAAAUGUAAAUCAAUAGUUUGAUUCAAUAUGAAAUGAUAUAUUGAUCUCAAGAUGUUUUCAAUGAUUCUAAUAAUAUUUGUAUUGAUCAUUCAUCACCUAUUUAU
RNAcentral lists this long non-coding RNA (1074 nucleotides) under Olea europaea subsp. europaea. The record is from RNAcentral. Lineage: Eukaryota; Viridiplantae; Streptophyta; Magnoliopsida; Lamiales; Oleaceae.